AUUUAAUGAUGUAUAUAUUUUCCAUUACGUAUUUACUUAAGUUGCUUGCUUUGAAUCUCGAGUUGGCAUUUCUAAUACAAGUGUAGUUUCUAGCUUGUUUUCCUAAUUGGAAUGAAAUAAAAAUAGAAUGGAAUUUUAGAGUGGGUAUUUUUAUGCUUAUAAAAGGAGUGACAAAAAGCAAACCCCAACAACCAACCACCAAACCCCAACUAAAUACCAACAACCCUCUGACUCCACAGUGUGUCUUGCUGAAGCCCAUUACCUCUCUUGCAAUGAUUUGGCAGCCAGGUGGCCACAGAUUUGACCAUGUCUUGAGGACAGGUUCCUUCUCUCUGUACAGUUGUUUCAUCAUGCACAGGGAAGAUGGGAUAAGAGGAGAUCUGCAGAUUCCUUGAGGUUUUUUUGGCUAUGAUAAUCUCUAGAUUGAGGGUAGGACAUCUCUUCUUGAUGAGCAGACAGAUCUGAAUAUGUGCUGCUGUGUCUGCAUCCAACAGAGGUCUCACACCAUAAGAACAUUACUCCAAGGUAACAUAACCAAGGCCUGAAAGGAAACAUGAGAAAAAUGGCUGUUACUGAUGAGAUGAAAAGCAAAAUGGAAACUGGUAGAAAGGGCAAGAAAGAUGUGGAGGGAAGAGAGAAAAGACAAAGAAUGCUGCAGAAGGAAGAUGAAUGGUGAUGAUACCAUAAUGAUGGAUCAUGGUGGAGACGGAGAGCUGGGAGGGAGCCAAAUGGGAGAGUCAGAUGAGAAAGUGCCACAGAAAAGAGAAGGCAGGUAUGGGAGGAGGAGGAAAAGACUGAUGGGGAGGGAGCAGGAGGACAUGGAUAGGGUUGAAGGAGGGUUGGAGAGAUAAAGGAAGCAAGGAGGAGGGUGGAGAACAAAACUUUGCCCAAAGUGUAGUGCAGCAAUCCUCCUGCAUCUCCUGGAUGCAUGUAAAAGGGGCUUGGAAGAAUCUUCAUUUAUCAGGAAUUCAAUUAAGUGGAAUAGUCAUUAUUAAUUUGAUAGGAAUUAUUUGUGCAGGAAAGCCUGGAGUGAGGAAAGGACUCCUGGAGCCAUUUCUCCUGUCAGUGCCCCAGGUCAGGUUGCCCACCUGGUCAAGGACAGCCCAGCAUCACUCUGCAACAUUGGCCCCCCAGCAUGCCAAGAGCCCUUUUGGGGCACGCAGACCUCAGCCCCAUGCAUGCACACCCUGACUGUGAUUCGGAAAACAAGUGGAAGCAGCAGGAGGUGCUGGUCUCUCUGGCCGAGACGCCCGGCAACACGGGGCGGGUGUUCCCCAGACAGCCCCCUGCUAACAAGGGAUCCUGUCUCGGAGGCUGUGAGUCACCGCUGAAA
This 1333-nucleotide long non-coding RNA is filed under the name Coturnix japonica (Japanese quail). Its description in RNAcentral is "lncRNA (ENSCJPG00005014137.1)". Lineage: Eukaryota; Metazoa; Chordata; Aves; Galliformes; Phasianidae. The record is from RNAcentral.